RNAcentral lists this long non-coding RNA (425 nucleotides) under Coffea arabica (coffee). Its description in RNAcentral is "long non-coding RNA (CARA_LNC001102)". Lineage: Eukaryota; Viridiplantae; Streptophyta; Magnoliopsida; Gentianales; Rubiaceae. The record is from RNAcentral.
UAAUACUUGCAGAAUAUUCAGAUGAAUUUCACUCAAAUUACCUGCAGAAUAUUCAGAUGAAUUUCACUCAAAUUACCAACAAUACCUCUGCACUUCUUAAAAGAAAAAGAAAAGAUUUAGACUUUAGAUUAAUUAGACCUUUGUUUUACCAGUAAAGCGACUCAAGAUGACCAUCAACUUAAUUCUUGAGGUUGGAAGAAGAUCAUGUCUAAAUCCAGUUCUUCCAUGAAAUGUAAACGUCUCACUGAUGUCAUUUGCUUGCUUUAAUUUGCUUUCUUGAUGAUUUGACAAAACCAACUAGUUCACUUUGAGUUAAUUUACUCAAGACAAAUUUCCAGAUGUAUCUAGUUCCCUUUGAGUUACUAUUACCUACCAUCAGAAUCUUGACAGCAUCUUAACAAAGCUGUUUUGGUGUAGAAUUUGUU